This 433-nucleotide ribosomal RNA is filed under the name uncultured bacterium. RNAcentral's name for it is "partial 16S ribosomal RNA". It matches the Rfam family "Bacterial small subunit ribosomal RNA", at positions 29 to 507 of the family's 1533-position model. The record is from RNAcentral.
AACGAACGCUGGCGGCAUGCCUAACACAUGCAAGUCGAACGAGACCUUCGGGUCUAGUGGCGCACGGGUGCGUAACGCGUGGGAACCUGCCCUUAGGUUCGGAAUAACUCCCCGAAAGGGGUGCUAAUACCGGAUAAUGUCUUCGGACCAAAGAUUUAUCGCCUUUGGAUGGGCCCGCGUUGGAUUAGCUAGUUGGUAGGGUAAAAGCCUACCAAGGCGACGAUCCAUAGCUGGUCUGAGAGGAUGAUCAGCCACACUGGGACUGAGACACGGCCCAGACUCCUACGGGAGGCAGCAGUGGGGAAUAUUGGACAAGGGGCGAAAGCCUGAUCCAGCAAUGCCGCGUGAGUGAGGAAGGCCUUAGGGUUGUAAAGCUCUUUUACCCGGGAUGAUAAUGACAGUACCGGGAGAAUAAGCUCCGGCUAACUCCGUG